Molecule: ribosomal RNA, 253 nt
Filed under: uncultured bacterium
Lineage: Bacteria
Description: partial 16S ribosomal RNA
Rfam family: Bacterial small subunit ribosomal RNA
Source: RNAcentral
UACGUAGGGUGCGAGCGUUGUCCGGAAUUAUUGGGCGUAAAGGGCUCGUAGGCGGUCUGUCGCGUCGGGAGUGAAAACUCAGGGCUUAACCCUGAGCCUGCUUCCGAUACGGGCAGACUAGAGGUAUGCAGGGGAGAACGGAAUUCCUGGUGUAGCGGUGGAAUGCGCAGAUAUCCGGAGGAACACCGAUGGCGAAGGCAGGUCUCUGGGCCACUACUGACGCUGAGAAGCGAAAGCAUGGGGAGCGAACAGG